GAUGAACGCUAGCGGCAGGCCUAAUACAUGCAAGUCGAACGGGUGGUCGCAAGACCCCUAGUGGCGCACGGGUGCGUAACGCGUAACCAACCUGCCCCCAUCUGGGCGAUAGCCCGCCGAAAGCCGGAUUAAUACCGCAUCUACCCGCAGCCUGGCAUCUGGCAACGGGGAAAGAUUUAUUCGAUCGGGUUGGGGUUCCGUUACAUUAGCUAGUUGGCGGCGUAAGGGCCCACCAAGCCGACAAUGUCUAUGCGACCUGAGUGGUUGCCCCCCCGCACUGGCACUGCGUUACGGGCCAGACUCCUACGGGAAGCAGCAUUUGGGAAUCAUGGGCAAGGGGCGUGAGCCUGCCCCCCCCAGGCCGCGUGCCGGAUCCAGGCCUUCUGGGUUGUAUUCGGCUUUUCACAGGGAAGAAACAGGCCUUGCGAGCUACACUGACGGUACCUGAGGAAUAAGCACCGGCUAACUCCGUG
Molecule: ribosomal RNA, 473 nt
Filed under: uncultured bacterium
Lineage: Bacteria
Description: partial 16S ribosomal RNA
Rfam family: Bacterial small subunit ribosomal RNA
Source: RNAcentral